RNAcentral lists this unclassified non-coding RNA (169 nucleotides) under uncultured fungus. Its description in RNAcentral is "sequence contains ITS1, 5.8S rRNA gene". Lineage: Eukaryota; Fungi. The record is from RNAcentral.
GUAUUUUGAAUUGUUUUAUUCAUAAUAUUUUUCAGACAAAGAGUUGGUUGAUGUUUGGUCGUUCCCAUAGAAGAGAACGACUGACAUUGCACACAAGGUGGAUAUGGAUUUAAAAAGUGCCAUAAAACACUUAUUAUGAAUGAUCCUUCCGCAGGUUCACCUACGGAAA